Vulpes vulpes (red fox) is the source of this 2248-nucleotide long non-coding RNA. The record is from Ensembl. Lineage: Eukaryota; Metazoa; Chordata; Mammalia; Carnivora; Canidae.
GCCACACACAAAACAUGGGUUAGGUGGGAGGCCAGCAGGAGAGCGUCCAGGGGUGAGGGCUCCCUGACCCUUAGAGGCUGAGCAGGCGGGUCACGUGGCCCCGACUUCUAAAAGACCCUGUAAUUUUCAGUUGACUAAUGUGGGGAGGGGGGGGAAUCAACACGUGAAUCACCUUUCAAGUACUUAAUUUAAUUAGACAAGGAAAAUGAGGCUUCUUUAAAAUUCUUACUUGGCAUUAACUUCUGUCACAAAGCAGCCUAGCGUAAUUGGUAAAAGUGAAAAAGUGAUUACUGAGGCUUAAGCUUAUUUAUCACAGCUGCUGCACUUUUACAAAGUGAGUUUUAUGGUGCUAAACCCUCCGCCAGAGCAGUAUGGACCCCGGAGCAUGGAUUCCAGUCUUUUCAUAAACCCCCUCUAAUAAGCUGCGGUAAUAGGACGGGUGGGGAGGGGACUCUAUUAAACAAACAGCCCGGCUGGGGCUCACAGCUUGUCUGCUGCCCUGGGUACCCAUGCUUUCCCCUCCUGUCUCCUCUGUCACUUUAGGAUCAUACAGUAUGGCAGGUCGGGGAGUCCUUAGCUCAUCUCCUCUAAUCCGUGGCAAAUGACUUGUCCUAAGUCACACUGUUGGCUACCUGCAAAGCCAGAUACACCCAGGCACGUGAACCCCAAGUCAUGGAUCCUUCUGUCUCUAACAAGCUGAUCAGAAAGAAUGGGGAGCUGGAUCUUGGGAGCCAAAAUUAAGGGUGUUGUGCAGCAGCCCUUUAUAUGUCUGUCGUUCUUCUGGAUCCUUCCUGUUUUCCACCGUGUUAGUGAUUUUCGUUCACUGCCUCUUCUCUCCAAGGGCCUAAAGUUUUGGAAGAUGGGCCACGAUCCCAUUUCUCUCAGACUCUUACUGGAGGGCUGACUGCCGUGCACCGCCUGGAAGAGGCACUGGGUACAACUGUGUGAAAGAAAGAAACCUCUCCAUGUUAAUCACACUAACUGAUGGUCCAUAGGAGUGUUUCCUCAACUCGAUGGAUGAAAAUGAAGCCUGGAUACCCGUCUAAAGGGGGUCUCAGUGUGUCCCUCGACCAGCAGCAUUGGCAUCACUUGCUGGAAAUGAAGAUGCUUGGGCUCCACCCCAGACCUGCUGCAUCAGAUACUCUGGGAGUGGGGCUUGGCAAUAUUUUAAUAAGUCGUCUGGAGGAUUCUGAUUCUCACUCAAAUUUGAGACCCACUUGGACUGAGGUAUACAGUGGAGUACCAUAAUUCCACACUCCGAAAACAGUGUAUAGUUUGAAUUUAGAACAUGGAAGUCCUUGGCCAGGCACGGCUCUACCUGAUUUCCACACCUCCUGGCUUCCCCACAGCAGCCCUGCUUCUUUUUCCCCAUAGAUAUGUAUUAAAUGAGCAAGCAGUCCUCUAAACUGGAUCAUUUCUAAACGUUCCGAGGACUUUGUGAACAUGCUCAGUAAAGACCAUGGGGUUGGAGUUUGUGAACCCUAUAUAAGGGAUCUCCCAUGUAGAACUCAACUGGGUUCCUUUGGUAGGAAUACCAAGGGACUCCUCUCAGGAAGGAGCUGUUUCAUAUUGUUUCCAGGGGUCCGGUCUGGCUGGAGAAAUAUGUCAACUUAGGUAUCGUGAGAAGAUGAGCUACUAAGCAGGCAUUUUAUUAUUAUGCACUAGAACACAAGGUUGAUUAAAGCACUUCUUAAUUUUAAAAAUUAUUAAAUGGGGAAGGAAAUAAUAGUAUCAGUUAAUCUCAGGUCAGGUUGUUCUUUUCUUUUUCUUUUUUCUUUUUUUAACCUCUCUAAUAAGUUCCUAAACAUCAAGCAUUUCCAUGAAGCUAGACAGUUACUUAAUUAUAGGCUUGGUGAGUAAGUGCUUCUACAGAAUUCUCAAAGGGAUCGCCAGGAUCCUCGUAUAAUAUAGGGUUUAGAUGUUCUGCACUGGAGCCUAUAUACUAGCCCUUUUAUCUUAAGGCACAAAGAUGCCCAGAAGUGGAUGCAACAUGGGGUUACAUACCUUGGGGAGCCAGUCUGGCUCAAGGAUGAGGCAAGCAACUGAAGGCUGUGAUCCAAGGGGCCAGCACCCUCACCCUGCUCGUCAUAGGCCACAGCAGGGCCUGCUCUGGCCACAGUGGCCAUCCAGGGGCCUUGCAGGGCAAGGGAGCCUCUUCGGGGCAGUAACAUCAUGGCUCAUCAUCCAGGAUAGUCAGCACUGCUGAUGUUCCCCUUGUGGCUCUGAGUUUCUCUCUGAGUAACAGGAG